This 121-nucleotide small nuclear RNA is filed under the name Myotis lucifugus (little brown bat). RNAcentral describes it as "U4 spliceosomal RNA (ENSMLUG00000021005.1)". The stretch from base 1 to 84 matches the Rfam family "U4 spliceosomal RNA". Rfam says of the family: U4 small nuclear RNA (U4 snRNA) is a component of the major U2-dependent spliceosome. The structure of U4 snRNA from yeast and human has been reported. The record is from RNAcentral. Lineage: Eukaryota; Metazoa; Chordata; Mammalia; Chiroptera; Vespertilionidae.
AGCUUUGUGACUUGGCAGUAUCAUAGCCAAUGAGGUUUAUCCGAGGUGUGAUUAUUGCUAAUUGAAAAAAAAAUUAUAUAUAGCCCUAGUCAGUUUUGCUCAGUGGAUAGAGCAUUGGCCC